This is a long non-coding RNA of Perca fluviatilis (European perch), 1129 nucleotides long. RefSeq lists it as uncharacterized. Lineage: Eukaryota; Metazoa; Chordata; Actinopteri; Perciformes; Percidae. The transcript has 3 exons. The record is from RefSeq and is a predicted model, not a curated record.
GAUCCGCCCCCCUCAGGUGCUAAUAACUUCACCUUAAUGAGAGGCUACGGUAGUGGCAGGGUUCGAAAUGAGGUGGGUCUGGGGGGGGUCCCGGACCCCCCAUAAGUCAUUAGGGACCCCCUAUAAGAAUUUAUUUUUAGAUUUUGGGGGGUCCCCGACAAAUAUUUUUAACAUUAAAAAUGAUUGUGAAAAUUAUAGGUCUUUAGUGACGUUUUAUAUUUAUAACAAUAAUUAAUGUAUUUCCUAGCGCGAUUGGGCAGCAAUCAGGGCAGCUAAUAGCAUCACAGAUUGUUGUUGUGGUCCUCCGGCGCAUACAGUACAGUCUAUGGCGCAGUAUGUUAUUGUUGAACGCGGCAAAAACGAAGCCUCACAAAGAGUGAAAUCCCUAAUGAAAAUCCUAAUCCUGCAUCAUGGAGAGAGAAAGCGGGAAAAAGAAAGAUCACCGACUUUUUUCAAGGAUAGCAGCCUGGCUCCAUGUCGGUGUGGGUGGAGACCAUCAUACUACAGCUCCUCACCGUGCCAUUGAUGCCCGGCAUAUCCAUAUCUACCCUGGAAUUAUGCAGAAAACCCAGCUCCAAAGAAAUUAAGAUUUUGACAAUUCUAUUCCUAAAGUGCCUGACUUUGCACUGCCCCCAAAUGGCCAAAUAUGGCUCCCCGUUGACUUUGUAUGUAUGUAUGUGGCGUUUUCUUUUUGCGGGGUACAAAUAUUCCACCAGAACAAGUUUUUGCAGAGCCACGCAAGCUGCGUCCGGAGCUUAGCGCCACCCAAGAUGAUUGUUUGGUUUAAAGAAAUGCAAACAACCCAAAGCAUUUUUGUUGUUGUUGUGGAAACAUGGCUGAACAACAAAAUAUGAAUUUAUAGUGUGGUGUGUCUCAUUAGUACCACAUAGCAGAACAGGUCUGCAUUGGUCUGGGGUGUUUGGGUCCCAUAACUUUGACGCUAUCGAGCAAAAAGCCGUUUUCCAUAGGAAAUGAAUGGGGUUCUUAAAAAAAUGUAAAUCGAGUUGCCAGGUAAUAUCUGUAAUUUGAAAGGUAAUAUCUGUAAUUUGAAAAGAAUACAAGAUAAUUUUGUAAACUAAAUUACAAUAAAGUGUUGUUUUCCUGUAAAAAAAAACACACAAUACAUUGC